RNAcentral lists this ribosomal RNA (253 nucleotides) under uncultured bacterium. Its description in RNAcentral is "partial 16S ribosomal RNA". It matches the Rfam family "Bacterial small subunit ribosomal RNA", at positions 524 to 776 of the family's 1533-position model. The record is from RNAcentral.
UACGUAGGGCGCAAGCGUUGUCCGGAAUUAUUGGGCGUAAAGGGCGCGUAGGCGGCCCUCCUUGUCGCGUGUGAAAGCCCCGGGCUCAACCUGGGAACGGCGCGCGAGACGGGGGGGCUGGAGUUCGGGAGAGGAGCGUGGAAUUCCCAGUGUAGAGGUGAAAUUCGUAGAUAUUGGGAAGAACACCGGUGGCGAAGGCGGCGCUCUGGACCGAGACUGACGCUGAGGCGCGAAAGCGUGGGGAGCAAACAGG